UCCCUGGAGGACUGGUGGUUUGGCCUUGGUGCUCUCAGCGCCGCGGCCCAGGUUCGAUUCCCGGCUAGAGAA
Molecule: non-coding RNA, 72 nt
Organism: Pangasius djambal
Lineage: Eukaryota; Metazoa; Chordata; Actinopteri; Siluriformes; Pangasiidae
Source: the annotation of a GenBank genome assembly